GCCGCCGUAGCUCAGCCCGGUUAGAGCGGCGGGCUGUUAACCUAAGGCGGACACCCGUAGGUCCCGGGUUCAAAUCCCGGCGGCGGCG
Molecule: transfer RNA, 88 nt
Filed under: Pyrobaculum aerophilum str. IM2
Lineage: Archaea; Thermoproteati; Thermoproteota; Thermoprotei; Thermoproteales; Thermoproteaceae
Rfam family: tRNA
About the family: Transfer RNA (tRNA) molecules are approximately 80 nucleotides in length.
Source: Rfam by way of RNAcentral